This is a long non-coding RNA of Alligator mississippiensis (American alligator), 1057 nucleotides long. RefSeq lists it as uncharacterized. The transcript is spliced from 4 exons. The record is from RefSeq and is a predicted model, not a curated record. NCBI's taxonomy places the organism in Eukaryota, Metazoa, Chordata, Crocodylia, Alligatoridae.
GGCCAGGAAGGCAGUUCCCUGCCAGCAGCCAAGGGGGAAGGAGCUCUCCUGGAGCAAGCAAAGGGGAGAGGCCUGAUUCCUAUCAAGGUCAGCCUGGAUCACCAGCCUAUCCUCAGGUGUGGAUGCUCUACCCCAAAGUUUGGUGUCAUCGGCGAACUUGGCCAGUCCACUUCUGACACCAGUGUCCACAUCAUUUAAUGAAGACAUUAAAGAGUAGAGGUCCGAGGAUGGAGCCUUAGGGAACACCACUGGACACAGAGCACCAUGAUGAUUCACUUCUGUCAACUACCACUCUCUGGGUCUGACUUUGGAGCCAAUUCCCCAGCCAUUGGACUGUGGUGUAGCUGAGGCCGCAAUUGGCCAAUUUUUCCAUCGUGGGACACCAGAUCAAGGCUUUUUAAAGGGAUUGAGGUCAAGCUGAUUGGCUUGUAGUUCUCCAAUGUAAGGGGCUGGAAGACACUCACCCAGGAUGCCUUACCAAGCAGGAACAAAGACCUCACUGAAGCAAGACUUCCAUGCUGUGGUGGGAGCUCCUGGUUCACCCCAGCCCAGCUUUACCACCUUGGCAGUUCCAGGGAGGUGCGGAUCCAUUGCUGCGGGCUGUUCAUUUGAGCCUGAGACAGCCGCGGCAAAAUGAAGAUUUUAAAAGGAAACAGACAACUCCCAGGUGGAGGGAAGAAGGAUCUGCUGCCCCAGUGGCUCCGCCGUGGGACCCGGGGAUGCAAAGCUGGUACAGGCCAGGGAGAGUGUGACGGGGAACACCAAACCCUCCCCUGUGUACGCUGCCUAACAGCGGCAAGGAUUUCCCCUGCUUGUUAAGGGGUCGGACGCCACCAAUUAAGUCCAGCAGGGCAGCAAUUAGCAGAAGAUAACAGCAGACUCCCCAAUGUGUUGAGGAAUGCAGGGAAAACCCAAGCCUGUGAGGAAGCCACCACCACACCUGUGGAAUGACGGGAACCCAAGUAUCUUGGUUCAGCAGCAGUCGGACUAAAAAGGGAAAGAAAAAAAACCCAGAAAUAUAUAUAUAAUAAAAGAAAGGAACAAAAGAAAAGAAAGA